GAUGUAGCAACGCCGCGUGGAGGAUGACGGAGUUAGGUCUGUAAACUCCUUUUAUAAGGGAAGAAAUUUGACGGUACCUUAUGAAUAAGCACCGGCUAACUCCGUGCCAGCAGCCGCGGUAAUACGGGGGGUGCAAGCGUUACUCGGAAUCACUGGGCGUAAAGGGAGCGUAGGCGUUUUAUUAAGUCUUGAGUGAAAGCUCGCGGCUCAACUGCGGAACUGCUCAGGAAACUG
This 234-nucleotide ribosomal RNA is filed under the name uncultured bacterium. Its description in RNAcentral is "partial 16S ribosomal RNA". It matches the Rfam family "Bacterial small subunit ribosomal RNA", at positions 385 to 635 of the family's 1533-position model. The record is from RNAcentral.